GACGAACGCUGGCGGCGUGCUUAACACAUGCAAGUCGAACGGAAAGGCCCUGCUUUUGUGGGGUGCUCGAGUGGCGAACGGGUGAGUAACACGUGAGUAACCUGCCCUUGACUUUGGGAUAACUUCAGGGAACUGGGGCUAAUACCGGAUAGGAGCUCCUGCUGCAUGGUGGGGGUUGGAAAGUUUCGGCGGUUGGGGAUGGACUCGCGGCUUAUCAGCUUGUUGGUGGGGUAGUGGCUUACCAAGGCUUUGACGGGUAGCCGGCCUGAGAGGGUGACCGGCCACUGUGAGACAGAGUCCCGCCCACGACGGAGGGGGGACGGGGAGGGGGGGACACGUGAGCAUGGGGGGGGACACGAGGACAACACGCCGGCGUGCGGGCUGACCGCUGUGUGUUUGACACCGGCUUCCGCCGGGAACGAAGGUUGAGUGAGGGAAAUGGACAAAGAAGAACCGACAACCCACGUGCCAGCAGCGGCGAAAAAAAGCGAAGACCACCCGUUUGAUC
Molecule: ribosomal RNA, 508 nt
Filed under: uncultured bacterium
Lineage: Bacteria
Description: partial 16S ribosomal RNA
Rfam family: Bacterial small subunit ribosomal RNA
Source: RNAcentral